Molecule: ribosomal RNA, 116 nt
Filed under: Canis lupus dingo (dingo)
Lineage: Eukaryota; Metazoa; Chordata; Mammalia; Carnivora; Canidae
Source: RNAcentral
GUCUAUGGCCAUACCACCCUGAAUGCACCCAAUCCCCCCUGAUCUAGGAAGCUAAGCAGGGUCAGGCCUGGUUAGUACUUGGAUGGGAGACAAGGCACUGCCAGUUGCCUCUCACU